This 31-nucleotide non-coding RNA is filed under the name Mus musculus (house mouse). Lineage: Eukaryota; Metazoa; Chordata; Mammalia; Rodentia; Muridae. The record is from RNAcentral.
UGAAGUUACAGAUGGUUGUGACCUGUCAUGU